Molecule: ribosomal RNA, 373 nt
Filed under: uncultured Bacteroidota bacterium
Lineage: Bacteria; Pseudomonadati; Bacteroidota
Description: bacterial SSU rRNA
Rfam family: Bacterial small subunit ribosomal RNA
Source: RNAcentral
UAAUACGGAGGGUCCAAGCGUUAUCCGGAAUCAUUGGGUUUAAAGGGUGCGCAGGCGGUUUAAUAAGUCAGUGGUGAAAUCUCGAGGCUUAACCUCGAAACUGCCAUUGAUACUGUUAAACUUGAGUUCAGUUGGAGUAGGCGGAAUGUGUAGUGUAGCGGUGAAAUGCUUAGAUAUUACACAGAACACCGAUAGCGAAGGCAGCUUACUAAACUGAUACUGACGCUGAGGCACGAAAGCGUGGGGAGCGAACAGGAUUAGAUACCCUGGUAGUCCACGCCGUAAACUAUGAUUACUCGAUAUUGGCGAUAUACUGUCAGUGUCUAAGCGAAAGUGAUAAGUAAUCCACCUGGGGAGUACGGUCGCAAGAUUG